Molecule: long non-coding RNA, 619 nt
Organism: Xenopus laevis (African clawed frog)
Lineage: Eukaryota; Metazoa; Chordata; Amphibia; Anura; Pipidae
Exons: 4
Source: RefSeq, a predicted model, not a curated record
AACGUCAUAAGGCGGCGCUGCUAAGCUGAAGCUAGUGGUGCAGUUGGAAUGUUGAGAAUGCAGGAGAUAAGAGACCCGCCUGUAACCGAGUAACUUGCCAGUAUAAUGCGACGUUUUAUUCCUGAGUGGGGUCAGGAUAAUAUCCCCACCUGCCUAUACAGUCGUUGCCUAUCGGUAACCCUGGUUUGAGAUCUUGCAAUUCGAAGCUGAACCUUAUCAGAAUGCAUGGCUGUCCAAGAAGAAUAGACAAACGGCAUUCUGUCCUGUUGCCGUACUCCAUGAAUGGAUUACGUACAAAAAAACAGUUGAUGCAGACGUAUAAAAUCAGCCGGUUCUACUUACGUUCUGUUGAGGAGCUGCGUCGGGGUCUUUUUCCUCCUUGCGUUGUUUUUUGCUCCCUGUCUGAGCUACACCCGUGUUUUUUCGCCUUUUUGCUCCUUUUUCUCCCACUUCUUUGCUCAGUGCUGCUCCUGUCGUCGAUUCGUCUCUUCAUCUUGACGGUACCAAUAAGAUCUCAAAUAUUGGACUAAAGUUGGAUUUUCUUCUUUCUUCAAAAGCAACCUCAACGAAAGUUUGUGAAUUUGCUUUCAGCUGCAAAAAUAAAAAUCGCUUUUCCGCA